Molecule: ribosomal RNA, 693 nt
Filed under: Triticum aestivum (bread wheat)
Lineage: Eukaryota; Viridiplantae; Streptophyta; Magnoliopsida; Poales; Poaceae
Description: partial small subunit ribosomal RNA
Source: RNAcentral
AUGCAUGAGUCAUUACCGCAUGACGAAUUUGUUACCUUCGUGGUCACUUUGCGGGCUCUGUGGGGAGCACGUCGGAAGGCAGUGCACGAACAGAUUUACCAAAGCCCAUACUCCAUUCAUGGAGUUGUGCAAUCAUAUCUUGGAGAACUAAAGGCCAUCCAAACAUUUGUACCCCAACCCACUAGAGGUGUCGUGGUGCGCCCAACACAUUGGAUUGCUCCUUCGGUUGGCUUAGUGAAGAUCAAUGUAGAUGCAGCGGUCGGGAGAGGAGGACGUUAUGGAGCAGUUGGGGCGAUCUGUCGAGACCCAACAGGCCAAUUUCUUGGCGCUUCUGCGGUUGUGUUCCGAGUUGUCUCUGAUCCAUCAACACUUGAGUGCAUGGCAGUAAGGGAGGCUCUCGCCUUGGCGGAUGAUUUAUAUGAAAAAAUGAUUCAAGUUUUUUCAUAUUGCAAGGUGGUGGCCGAGGAUAUUCGGGACAGGAACGCCACAGUUUAUGGAGCAAUUAUACAUGAAAUCAUAGCGCAUAAGUAUACUUUUCUUACUUGUAAUAUUAGUCAUGAAUUCAGGAGCUCGAAUGUCGAGACUCACAAGCUCGCGAAGCAUGCUUUAUCCCUACCGGCUGGCCGGCAUGUGUGGUUGGGUCAGUCGGAAGGACUUCCUUUCAUCCGUGUAAACAUUGUGACGGUUGAAUAA